UACGAAGGGUGCAAGCGUUACUCGGAAUUACUGGGCGUAAAGCGUGCGUAGGUGGUUUGUUAAGUCUGUUGUGAAAGCCCCGGGCUCAACCUGGGAAUGGCAAUGGAUACUGGCAGGCUAGAGUGCGGUAGAGGGUAGUGGAAGUUCCUGGUGUAGCAGUGAAAUGCGUAGAUAUCAGGAGGAAUACCGAUGGCGAAGGCAGGUCUCUGGGCUGACACUGACGCUCAUGCACGAAAGCGUGGGGAGCAAACAGG
This 254-nucleotide ribosomal RNA is filed under the name uncultured bacterium. RNAcentral describes it as "partial 16S ribosomal RNA". It matches the Rfam family "Bacterial small subunit ribosomal RNA", at positions 524 to 776 of the family's 1533-position model. The record is from RNAcentral.